AUGAGUGAGGCCACGGAGCCCAGGCCUGGGCCUGGCGGGCUGGGUGUGGGCUCCCGGGAUGGAGCUGGGCCAGCCCUGCAGGGUGCUCAGGAGCGCUGGGCCCCAGCGACACUGCCCUCUGAGCUGCGCCUGGGCCGCUGGGCCCGAGGCGCUGAUUCCUCUGGAAUAAGCAGGAUUGCAGAUGGAGUGAGUGGAAUUUUUUCUGAUCAUUGUUACAGCGUCUGCUCCAUAAGACAGCCGGAUUUAAAAUAUUUUGACAACAAAGAUGAUGAAUCUGAUAGAGGCAUCAAAUGACUUGCCAAAACUUACAGAUGGAAUCAAGGCCAGAAACCGAAAUCAGAACUACCUGGUCCCCAAUCCUAUACUUAGGAUUCUAGACCACACUGCCUUUGCUAUAGAAAAAUCAACUGAUAUUGAAAUUUAUGAUGAAGAAUGUGACUCACCUGAAUCGGUUAAUCAGCAGACCCAAGAGGAGAGCCCUAUAGAAGUUCACACCGCUGAAGAUGUUCCAAUAGCUGCAGAGGUCCAUGCAAUCUCUGAGGAUUAUGACCUAGAGACAGAAAACAAUUCUUCUGAGAGUCUCCACGACCAGACUGACGAAGAGCCACCAGCUAAACUCUGUAAAAUUCUUGACAAGAACCAGGCUUUGAAUGUGACUGCCCAGCAGAAAUGGCCUUUGCUCAGAGCUAAUAGCAGCGGCCUCUAUAAAUGCGAACUUUGUGAGUUCAACAGCAAAUAUUUUUCUGAUUUAAAGCAGCAUAUGAUCCUGAAGCAUAAGCGUACUGAUUCAAAUGUCUGUCGAGUCUGCAAAGAAAGUUUCUCUACCAACAUGCUUCUGAUUGAGCACGCCAAACUCCACGAGGAGGACCCAUAUAUUUGUAAAUAUUGUGACUACAAAAUAGUCAUUUUCGAGAACCUCAGCCAGCACAUUGCGGACACUCAUUUCAGUGACCACCUCUAUUGGUGUGAGCAGUGUGACGUGCAGUUCUCCUCGAGCAGUGAGCUCUACUUACAUUUCCAGGAGCACAGCUGUGAUGAGCAGUACUUGUGUCAGUUCUGUGAACAUGAGACGAAUGAUCCAGAAGAUUUGCAUAGCCACGUGGUAAAUGAGCAUGCAUGUAAACUAAUAGAGCUAAGUGAUAAAUAUAACAAUGGAGAACAUGGACAAUACAGCCUGUUAAGCAAAAUUACCUUUGACAAAUGUAAAAACUUCUUCGUGUGUCAAGUGUGUGGCUUCCAGAGUAGACUUCAUACCAAUGUGAACAGGCAUGUGGCUAUUGAACACACUAAAAUUUUCCCUCACGUGUGCGAUGACUGUGGGAAAGGCUUCUCGAGUAUGCUAGAAUAUUGCAAGCAUUUAAAUUCACAUUUAUCUGAGGGAAUUUACUUAUGUCAGUAUUGUGCAUAUUCAACAGGACAAAUUGAAGAUCUUAAAAUUCAUUUAGAUUUUAAACAUUCAGCUGAUUUACCUCACAAAUGCAGUGAUUGCUUGAUGAGGUUUGGAAAUGAAAGAGAAUUAAUAAGUCACCUUCCAGUUCAUGAGACAACUUGAUUGUCUUUUGUAUUUCUCUUACAUAAUGUCAAUGCAAAAUAAAAUACUACAACUGAUUUUUUGGACAUAAUAAAAUGUAUCACUUUAA
This is an RNA transcript of Elephantulus edwardii (Cape elephant shrew), 1640 nucleotides long. It is a transcript of the gene named zinc finger protein 639-like, with no coding region annotated. Lineage: Eukaryota; Metazoa; Chordata; Mammalia; Macroscelidea; Macroscelididae. The transcript is spliced from 2 exons. The record is from RefSeq and is a predicted model, not a curated record.